This 497-nucleotide ribosomal RNA is filed under the name uncultured bacterium. RNAcentral's name for it is "partial 16S ribosomal RNA". It matches the Rfam family "Bacterial small subunit ribosomal RNA", at positions 28 to 507 of the family's 1533-position model. The record is from RNAcentral.
GAUGAACGCUGGCGGCGUGCCUAAUACAUGCAAGUCGAGCGAACGGACGAGAAGCUUGCUUCUCUGAUGUUAGCGGCGGACGGGUGAGUAACACGUGGAUAACCUACCUAUAAGACUGGGAUAACUUCGGGAAACCGUAGCUAAUACCGGAUAAUAUUUUGAACCGCAUGGUUCAAAGGUGAAAGACGGUCUUGCUGUCACUUAUAGAUGGAUCCGCGCUGCAUUAGCUAGUUGGUAAGGUAACGGCUUACCAAGGCAACGAUGCAUAGCCGACCUGAGAGGGUGAUCGGCCACACGGGAACUGAGACACGGUCCAGACUCCUACGGGAGGCCGCAGUAGGGAAUCUUCCGCAAUGGGCGAAAGCCUGACGGAGCAACGCCGCGUGAGUGAUGAAGGUCUUCGGAUCGUAAAACUCUGUUAUUAGGGAAGAACAUAUGUGUAAGUAACUGUGCACAUCUUGACGGUACCUAAUCAGAAAGCCACGGCUAACUACGUG